Daucus carota subsp. sativus is the source of this 1013-nucleotide long non-coding RNA. RefSeq lists it as uncharacterized. The record is from RefSeq and is a predicted model, not a curated record. NCBI's taxonomy places the organism in Eukaryota, Viridiplantae, Streptophyta, Magnoliopsida, Apiales, Apiaceae. The transcript has 4 exons.
GUUGUUUGCCCUGAUUGUUUUGUAAAUUGUAUGCAGAUGGAACUGGUAUUGUUAACUAGAAGGAAGUUGCUUCAGAAAGGUGAUUACAAUCGCGUUCAAGACUCUGAAAUGUAUAUGUUUAGUACUUUUGAUUAAGGUAUUACACCUUUUGUUAAUCUUAAUCACUAUGAUGUCCCUCAAGCACUUCAAGAGAGAUAUAGUGGACUGUUAAGCCGCGAAAUUGUGAAGUAUUUUGUUGAUUAUGCAGAAUUCUGUUUCCAGAUGUGUAUGGAGACAGGGUUAAAAAUUGGUUUACAUUUAAUGAACCUAGAGUGGUUACUGUUCAAGGAUUUGAUGAAGGUUCUUUCCCAUCAGGAAGAUGCUCUUAGUUCUUCAAAUGCUUUCAUGCUCUCUGCAUCAAAGCCUCAUUCAAACUGAAAUUUCAAAACAAAUUUAUAUCAACGACUAAGAAAUACUGAAGAUAGAGUUGUUAGCCUCCAUGUACAUGCAGUUUGCGAAUCGCUUUUGUACUAUUAUCAUUAAAUAUGAGAACUGGUGAUUUUCAAAUCAAAAGAUACACGGAAAGCAAAUCGGACUCCUUGCAGAACCAAAAGUUCUCUGUUUGGUUCCUUCUCAGGUCCAUCUACUGCAUCAAGUUCUGAUGCAAUACGCUUUAUGUACUUACGCGCCAAUUGUACAGAAUAGAGCUUAAUCUGUCACUAUAUAGGCGUUUUGGUGGUGGGGGCAUGUUAAGGUAGCAGAUCUCCAGCUACGAAUUGGAACAUGUUGGCAAGUUGCUUUGUGAGCUUUCUCGAGUUGUCAUCUUGAGUUAUAUUAUGAUUAGCAGCAGCAAUAGUAGCUAUAGUAAGUAUCUUAUAUUUCUACAAGAAUUUAGGGAUCAUUGCUCCAUUACCUUUGGCUUCUAAUGAUUAUGCAUAUCAAGAAACCAACUGAAUAUCUUUUAAAGAAAUAAUAUUCAUGGUUCAGUUAUUUUGUGUAACUAGAAAUGAUUCUAGGGACUUUUGUGUUUUAUU